Long non-coding RNA from Octopus sinensis (East Asian common octopus), 282 nucleotides. RefSeq lists it as uncharacterized. NCBI's taxonomy places the organism in Eukaryota, Metazoa, Mollusca, Cephalopoda, Octopoda, Octopodidae. The record is from RefSeq and is a predicted model, not a curated record. The transcript has 3 exons.
UAGUGUUAUCACGUAAUUUAUCAGCCUAUUACCUAUAAUUGCUUGUAUGCGUGAGUGAGUGCGUGCGUGCGUGUGUGUGUGUGUGUGUGUGUGUGUGUGCAUAAUUGUUAGUCACUUCCAUGUUGACAAUUUUUUAGGGCAAGCCUGUUGAUAUUAGUGGCCCAUCCUUGACAUAAGAUUCAAAUGAGAUUUCUCUCUUGUCGUGAAAACAGCAUAGCUUGCGGAGUAUUUUGUUAAUGUUCAGUUAAAACAGCCGUGGAAAAGUAGCUAAUAUUUUCUUCU